Molecule: unclassified non-coding RNA, 237 nt
Filed under: plant metagenome
Description: partial contains small subunit ribosomal RNA, internal transcribed spacer 1, and 5.8S ribosomal RNA
Source: RNAcentral
UCUCCGUUGGUGAACCAGCGGAGGGAUCAUUACCGAGUAUACAACUCCCAAACCCCAUGUGAACCUUACCAAACGUUGCUUCGGCGGGAUGCCCCGGGCGCGGGCCGCAAGGCCUCAGCCCCGGAACCAGGCGCCCGCCGGAGGCCCAAACCAAACUCUUGUUUUUGUAGAAUCUUCUGAGUGGCCUUUUAGGCAAAAAACGAAUCAAAACUUUCAACAACGGAUCUCUUGGUUCUG